AUUGAACGCUGGCGGCAGGCCUAACACAUGCAAGUCGAGCGGAUGAAGGGAGCUUGCUCCUGGAUUCAGCGGCGGACGGGUGAGUAAUGCCUAGGAAUCUGCCUGGUGGUGGGGGAUAACGUCCGGAAACGGGCGCUAAUACCGCAUACGUCCUGAGGGAGAAAGUGGGGGAUCUUCGGACCUCACGCUAUCAGAUGAGCCUAGGUCGGAUUAGCUAGUUGGUGGGGUAAAGGCCUACCAAGGCGACGAUCCGUAACUGGUCUGAGAGGAUGAUCAGUCACACUGGAACUGAGACACGGUCCAGACUCCUACGGGAGGCAGCAGUGGGGAAUAUUGGGCAAUGGGCGAAAGCCUGAUCCAGCCAUGCCGCGUGUGUGAAGAAGGUCUUCGGAUUGUAAAGCACUUUAAGUUGGGAGGAAGGGCAGUAAGUUAAUACCUUGCUGUUUUGACGUUACCAACAGAAUAAGCACCGGCUAACUUCGUG
RNAcentral lists this ribosomal RNA (484 nucleotides) under uncultured bacterium. RNAcentral's name for it is "partial 16S ribosomal RNA". It matches the Rfam family "Bacterial small subunit ribosomal RNA", at positions 30 to 507 of the family's 1533-position model. The record is from RNAcentral.